GAAAUGCGAUAAGUAAUGUGAAUUGCAGAAUUCAGUGAAUCAUCGAAUCUUUGAACGCACAUUGCGCCCGCCAGUAUUCUGGCGGGCAUGCCUGUUCGAGCGUCAUUUCAACCAUCAAGCCCCCGGCUUGUGUUGGGGACCUGCGGCUGCCCGCAGGCCCUGAAAAACAGUGGCGGGCUCGCUGUCACACCGAGCGUAGUAGCAUACAUUCUCGCUCAGGGCGUGCUGCGGGUUCCGGCCGUUAAACGACCUUCAUAACCCAAGGUUGACCUCGGAUCAGGUAGGAAGACCCGUUGAACUUAAGC
RNAcentral lists this unclassified non-coding RNA (305 nucleotides) under plant metagenome. Its description in RNAcentral is "partial contains 5.8S ribosomal RNA, internal transcribed spacer 2, and large subunit ribosomal RNA". The stretch from base 1 to 105 matches the Rfam family "5.8S ribosomal RNA", at positions 50 to 154 of the family's 154-position model. The record is from RNAcentral.